GCAAGUCGAGCGGAUGAGAAGAGCUUGCUCUUCGAUUCAGCGGCGGACGGGUGAGUAAUGCCUAGGAAUCUGCCUGGUAGUGGGGGACAACGUUUCGAAAGGAACGCUAAUACCGCAUACGUCCUACGGGAGAAAGCAGGGGACCUUCGGGCCUUGCGCUAUCAGAUGAGCCUAGGUCGGAUUAGCUAGUUGGUGAGGUAAUGGCUCACCAAGGCGACGAUCCGUAACUGGACUGAGAGGAUGAUCAGUCACACUGGAACUGAGACACGGUCCAGACUCCUACGGGAGGCAGCAGUGGGGAAUAUUGGACAAUGGGCGAAAGCCUGAUCCAGCCAUGCCGCGUGUGUGAAGAAGGACUUCGGAUUGUAAAGCACUUUAAGUUGGGAGGAAGGGCAGUAAGUUAAUACCUUGCUGUUUUGACGUUACCGACAGAAUAAGCACCGGCUAACUCUGUGCCAGCAGCCGCGGUAAUACAGAGGGUGCAAGCGUUAAUCGGAAUUACUGGGCGUAAAGCGCGCGUAGGUGGUUCGUUAAGUUGGAUGUGAAAGCCCCGGGCUCAACCUGGGAACUGCAUCCAAAACUGGCGUAGCUAGAGUAUGGUAGAGGGUGGUGGAAUUUCCUGUGUAGCGGUGAAAUGCGUAGAUAUAGGAAG
This 652-nucleotide ribosomal RNA is filed under the name Pseudomonas sp. AT-BI-26. RNAcentral describes it as "bacterial SSU rRNA". It matches the Rfam family "Bacterial small subunit ribosomal RNA", at positions 57 to 703 of the family's 1533-position model. Lineage: Bacteria; Pseudomonadati; Pseudomonadota; Gammaproteobacteria; Pseudomonadales; Pseudomonadaceae. The record is from RNAcentral.